UGACACCCACAUAAGAGAACAUAAUAUUCCCUCUAGUACCCGAAUGAAGCAAAUCAAUGCAUGUUGGUUGAAAACGUGCAUGUAUAAAUCUUUUUCAUUCACGAUACAAAAGAGAAAUGAAGGUGCAUGGUCAUAUUUCACCCCUCUCCAGUUAGUUUUAUAAAUGAGAACAAAAGAAUGGCCUCAGAGAGAACAAUAUAAGCUUCGUGUUUCUAGGCGAAGUGGUUGAGUCUUUCACCCUAGAUGGUGACGUUCCAAUAACCAAAAUAGUCAUUGGCUUAUGCUCUAACCUAAUUAGCAUGGGGCACAUGGAAUCCCGUGUGAAUCAGCAAGGACCACCUUGCAAGGCUAAAUACUCCUGGGUGACCGAUAGCGAAAUAGUACCAUGAGGGAAA
Molecule: non-coding RNA, 395 nt
Organism: Picea glauca (white spruce)
Lineage: Eukaryota; Viridiplantae; Streptophyta; Pinopsida; Pinales; Pinaceae
Source: Rfam